Molecule: ribosomal RNA, 435 nt
Filed under: uncultured bacterium
Lineage: Bacteria
Description: partial 16S ribosomal RNA
Rfam family: Bacterial small subunit ribosomal RNA
Source: RNAcentral
AGCGAACGCUGGCGGCAGGCUUUACACAUGCAAGUCGAGCGGGAACUUUCGGGUGUCUGUGGCGGCCGGGUGCGUACCGCGUGGGAAUGUGUCCUCUGGUUCGGAAUAACUCAGGGUAACUUGGCCUAAUACCGGCUAAGCCCUCUUGGGCCCAGACUUGCUGCCGGAGGAUCGGUCCGCAUCUGAUUUGCUAGUUGGUGCGGUAACGGCUCACCAAGGUGACGAUCAGUAGCUGGUCUGAGAGGAUGAUCAGAAACUCUGGGGCUGAGACACGGCCCGGACUUCUACGCGAUGGAGGAGUGGGUGAUACAGGAAAACGGGGGGAAGCAUGAUGCAGUCAGGCCUGGUGAGUGAUUAAGGCCGUAGAGUUGUAAAGCGCGUUUAUCCGGGACGAAAAUGACGGUACCGGAGGAAUAAGCCCCGGCUAACUUCGUG